AACACAUGCAAGUCGAGCGGAAACGACUUAACUGAACCUUCGGGGAACGUUAAGGGCGUCGAGCGGCGGACGGGUGAGUAAUGCCUGGGAAAUUGCCCUGAUGUGGGGGAUAACCAUUGGAAACGAUGGCUAAUACCGCAUAAUAGCUUCGGCUCAAAGAGGGGGACCUUCGGGCCUCUCGCGUCAGGAUAUGCCCAGGUGGGAUUAGCUAGUUGGUGAGGUAAGGGCUCACCAAGGCGACGAUCCCUAGCUGGUCUGAGAGGAUGAUCAGCCACACUGGAACUGAGACACGGUCCAGACUCCUACGGGAGGCAGCAGUGGGGAAUAUUGCACAAUGGGCGCAAGCCUGAUGCAGCCAUGCCGCGUGUAUGAAGAAGGCCUUCGGGUUGUAAAGUACUUUCAGCAGUGAGGAAGGUUCAUACGUUAAUAGCGUAUGGAUUUGACGUUAGCUGCAGAAGAAGCACCGGCUAACUCCGUGCCAGCAGCCGCGGUAAUACGGAGGGUGCGAGCGUUAAUCGGAAUUACUGGGCGUAAAGCGCAUGCAGGUGGUUUGUUAAGUCAGAUGUGAAAGCCCGGGGCUCAACCUCGGAAUUGCAUUUGAAACUGGCAGACUAGAGUACUGUAGAGGGGGGUAGAAUUUC
This 641-nucleotide ribosomal RNA is filed under the name uncultured Vibrio sp. Its description in RNAcentral is "bacterial SSU rRNA". It matches the Rfam family "Bacterial small subunit ribosomal RNA", at positions 50 to 670 of the family's 1533-position model. Lineage: Bacteria; Pseudomonadati; Pseudomonadota; Gammaproteobacteria; Vibrionales; Vibrionaceae. The record is from RNAcentral.